AUCGAAUCUCAGCUCGGUAAGGAUACCCCCUGAAUUUAAGCAUAUAAUUAAAGGGAGGAAAAGAAACUAACAAGGAUUCCCUCAGUAAGGGCGACUGAAGCGGGAAAAGCUCACCGUGUGAAUCGACAUUCUAUGUCGAGUUGUGGUCUGUAGAAGUAACAUCUGUCGAGAUUCCGAGCUAAGUCUCUUGGAAAAGAGCAGCUGAGAGGGUGACACUCCCGUUCUUGCUUGGAAUCUACGACAAUAGCAUGUGUCUUCAACGAGUCGAGUUGCUUGGGAUUGCAGCUCAAACGCGUGGUAUACUCCAUGUAAAGCUAAAUAUAGGUAGGAAACCGAUAGCGCACAAGUACUGUGAAGGAAAGAUGCAAAGAACUUUGAAAAGAGAGUUAAAGAGUACCUGAAACUGUUGAAAGGGAAGCGAAUGAAAACAGUGUGUUUUCGUAUCAUUCUUCCUUCAUGACUUGUCAUGGGGGCGCUGUGAUGCGAGAGUGGUCAACAUGGGUUUGAAUCGGGGCAUAUAGCUAUUCAGGAGGCAUCUGUCUUUUCAGAGAUUACUGUUUAGUGUUGUCCUGGUUUGGAUCGAGGUUAGAAUCUGAUGUUGACGAAAUGUUUUUAUUCACCCCGUCUUGAAACACGGACCAAGGAGUCUAA
This 651-nucleotide ribosomal RNA is filed under the name uncultured Chaetoceros. RNAcentral describes it as "eukaryotic LSU rRNA". It matches the Rfam family "Eukaryotic large subunit ribosomal RNA", at positions 1 to 678 of the family's 3401-position model. The record is from RNAcentral. Lineage: Eukaryota; Bacillariophyta; Thalassiosirophyceae; Chaetocerotales; Chaetocerotaceae.